This 577-nucleotide ribosomal RNA is filed under the name fungal endophyte. RNAcentral describes it as "eukaryotic LSU rRNA". The stretch from base 214 to 367 matches the Rfam family "5.8S ribosomal RNA". The record is from RNAcentral. Lineage: Eukaryota; Fungi.
ACAUUUAGUCUCGUUGGUGACCAGCGGAGGGAUCAUUAUCGAGUUACCGCUCCUUAUAACCCUUUGUGAACAUACCCCAAACGUUGCCUCGGCGGGCAGCCGGAGCCCAGCUCCGUCGCCCGGAGCCGCCGUCUCGGCGCGCCCCACCCGCCGGCGGACCACCAAAUUCUAUUUAAACGACGUCUCUUCUGAGUGGCACAAGCAAAUAAUCAAAACUUUUAACAACGGAUCUCUUGGUUCUGGCAUCGAUGAAGAACGCAGCGAAAUGCGAUAAGUAAUGUGAAUUGCAGAAUUCAGUGAAUCAUCGAAUCUUUGAACGCACAUUGCGCCCGCCAGCAUUCUGGCGGGCAUGCCUGUUCGAGCGUCAUUUCAACCCUCAAGCACCGCUUGGCGUUGGGGCCCUACGGCUUCCGUAGGCCCCGAAAUACAGUGGCGGACCCUCCCGGAGCCUCCUUUGCGUAGUAACAUACCACCUCGCACUGGGAUCCGGAGGGACUCCUGCCGUAAAACCCCCCAAUUUUCCAAAGGUUGACCUCGGAUCAGGUAGGAAUACCCGCUGAACUUAAGCAUAUCAAAA